AGGAGCUGUUCAUCCACUGCGUCCUUUGCAAAGACCUCACUAGUUUUCUAGGUUUGUUUGGAGCUGCUUUAAGUUAAAGACCUCCCCGUCAAUCCGCAGUAGUGCUGGACCCGCUCUUUCUCGUCAAAGCAAACUUUUCGAGCUCACCUGUGAAUGGCUCAAGUGAUGGCAAGGCUUGCUCUGGAGGUCAGAAGAUCCAGGAGACAGCAGCCAAAAGGAGGGAGCUGAAGAAGCAGGCCAAGUGAAAGUGGCUGAUGGAGUGGUGGGAACAGCCCAAGCUGACAGUGCUGGGACAGUUCCCGGGCACGGCAUGAGGCAUUGAGGGGAAAGGAUUAUUACUCACCUCCUGGAUUACUGUCGCUGCUCUUCAAUGCCUUCCCAUGCUCACCUGCCUGUUCACCCAUCACCAGCUGCCUCAUAGGUUCAAGGUUUUCUGGCAUCCUCCCCUUCCCCACUAGCUUGG
Long non-coding RNA from Oreochromis niloticus (Nile tilapia), 463 nucleotides. RefSeq lists it as uncharacterized. Lineage: Eukaryota; Metazoa; Chordata; Actinopteri; Cichliformes; Cichlidae. The record is from RefSeq and is a predicted model, not a curated record. The transcript has 3 exons.